Molecule: transfer RNA, 73 nt
Filed under: Staphylococcus epidermidis
Lineage: Bacteria; Bacillati; Bacillota; Bacilli; Caryophanales; Staphylococcaceae
Description: tRNA-Glu
Rfam family: tRNA
About the family: Transfer RNA (tRNA) molecules are approximately 80 nucleotides in length. Their secondary structure includes four short double-helical elements and three loops (D, anti-codon, and T loops).
Source: RNAcentral
GGCUCCUUGGUCAAGCGGUUAAGACACCGCCCUUUCACGGCGGUAACACGGGUUCGAGUCCCGUAGGAGAUCA